UCAGGCCUAACACAUGCAAGUCGUACGAGGUGUAAAUAAUUCACUUGUGAAUUGUUUAUUACUACAGUGGCGCACGGGUGAGUAACACGUAAGAACCUGCCUUUUGGAGGGGGAUAACAUAGGGAAACCUUUGCUAAUACCCCAUAAAGCUGAGGAGCUAAAUCGCAUUUGCGGCCAAGAGAGGGGCUUGCGCCUGAUUAGCUAGUUGGGGGGGUAAUGGCUUCCCAAGGCCACGAUCAGUAGUUGGUCUGAGAGGAUGAUCAGCCACACUGGGACUGAGACACGGCCCAGACUCCUACGGGAGGCAGCAGUGAGGAAUUUUCUGCAAGGGGCGAAAGCCUGACGGAGCAAUACCGCGGACCUUAAAGGGAUCGUGGUCUGUAAACUUCUUUCUCAGAGAAGAAGAU
RNAcentral lists this ribosomal RNA (407 nucleotides) under uncultured bacterium. RNAcentral's name for it is "bacterial SSU rRNA". It matches the Rfam family "Bacterial small subunit ribosomal RNA", at positions 42 to 452 of the family's 1533-position model. The record is from RNAcentral.